Molecule: long non-coding RNA, 669 nt
Filed under: Mustela putorius furo (domestic ferret)
Lineage: Eukaryota; Metazoa; Chordata; Mammalia; Carnivora; Mustelidae
Description: lncRNA (ENSMPUG00000026551.1)
Source: RNAcentral
UGGAGCUAGAGUAUAUUAUGCUAAGUGAAAUAAGUCAAUCAGAGAAAGACAAAUACCGUAUGAUUUCAUUCAUAUGUGGAAUUUAAGAAACAAAAUAAAUGAAAAUAUGGUGGAGAGAGAGAAAGAGAGAGAGAGAGGAAAACAAACCAUAAGAGACUCCUAACAAUAGAGAACACACUGAGGGUUAUUGGAGGGAAGUAGGUGGGGGAUGGGCUAGAUGGCAGGCCCGUAUUAGGAGGGCACUUGUUAUGAUGAGCACUGGGUGUUGUAUGUAAGUGACGAACCACUGAAUUCUAGUCCUGAAACCAAUAUUGCACUGUAUUUUACCUAACUAGAAUUUAAAUAAAAAUUUGGGGGGGGGGAGUGAAAAGAAAAGAAUUUUCAAAUAUACAAGCUUCAAAACCUCCUAUGAUUCCUUUCUCAGAAAGCAGCAGAGGAUGUGCUGCUUCCAAACUACAAAGAAAACCAAGAAAAAGGAAACCAGAGAAACGAGAACAGAGGAGAUUCAACACAAGAACUACUACUACUAGAGGAAAGAAGGCUGGAGAGAAUUGGGAGAGACAGGAGCAGGGCAGAGGGAGAGAGAGAAUCUUAAGCAAGCUCCAUGCCCAACAUCUCACAACCUUGAGAUCAGGACCUGAGCUGAAAUCCAGUCAUCCAGUUAACUGA